CGUCUUCAGGGCGGGGUGAGAUUCCCGACCGGCGGUAAAGUCCGCGAGCCGUUUUCGGCAUGAUCCGGUGUGAUUCCGGGACCGACAGUAAAGUCUGGAUGAGAGAAGAC
RNAcentral lists this non-coding RNA (110 nucleotides) under human gut metagenome. RNAcentral describes it as "FMN riboswitch (RFN element)". It matches the Rfam family "FMN riboswitch aptamer (RFN element)". From Rfam's summary of the family: The RFN element is a highly conserved domain that is found frequently in the 5'-untranslated regions of prokaryotic mRNAs that encode for flavin mononucleotide (FMN) biosynthesis and transport proteins. This element is a metabolite-dependent riboswitch that directly binds FMN in the absence of proteins. The record is from RNAcentral.